UACGUAGGUCUCAAGCGUUGUUCGGAUUCAUUGGGCGUAAAGGGUGCGUAGGCGGCGCGGUAAGUCGGGUGUGAAAUCUUGGAGCUUAACUCCGAAACUGCAUUCGAUACUGCCGUGCUUGAGGACUGGAGAGGAGACUGGAAUUUACGGUGUAGCGGUGAAAUGCGUAGAUAUCGUAAGGAAGACCAGUGGCGAAGGCGGGUCUCUGGACAGUUCCUGACGCUGAGGCACGAAGGCCAGGGGAGCAAACGGG
Molecule: ribosomal RNA, 253 nt
Filed under: uncultured bacterium
Lineage: Bacteria
Description: partial 16S ribosomal RNA
Rfam family: Bacterial small subunit ribosomal RNA
Source: RNAcentral